Molecule: ribosomal RNA, 433 nt
Filed under: uncultured bacterium
Lineage: Bacteria
Description: partial 16S ribosomal RNA
Rfam family: Bacterial small subunit ribosomal RNA
Source: RNAcentral
AACGAACGCUGGCGGCAUGCCUAACACAUGCAAGUCGAACGAGACCUUCGGGUCUAUUGGCGCACGGGUGCGUAACGCGUGGGAACCUGCCCUUAGGUUCGGCAUAACUCCCCGAAAGGGGUGCUAAUACCGGAUAAUGUCUUCGGACCAAAGAUUUAUCGCCUUUGGAUGGGCCCGCGUUGGAUUAGCUAGUUGGUAGGGUAAAAGCCUACCAAGGCGACGAUGCAUAGCUGGUCUGAGAGGAUGAUCAGCGACACUGGGACUGAGACACGGCCCAGACUCCUACGGGAGGCAGCAGUGGGGAAUAUUGGACAAUGGGCGAAAGCAUGAUCCAGCAAUGCCGGGUGAGUGAUGAAGGCCUUAGGGUUGUAAAGCUCUUUUACCCGGGAUGAUAAUGACAGUACCGGGAGAAUAAGCUCCGGCUAACUCCGUG